RNAcentral lists this ribosomal RNA (293 nucleotides) under uncultured bacterium. Its description in RNAcentral is "partial 16S ribosomal RNA". It matches the Rfam family "Bacterial small subunit ribosomal RNA", at positions 505 to 796 of the family's 1533-position model. The record is from RNAcentral.
GUGCCAGCAGCCGCGGUAAUACGGAGGAUCCAAGCGUUAUCCGGAAUUACUGGGCGUAAAGAGUUGCGUAGGUGGCAUAGUAAGCAAACAGUGAAAGCGUACGGCUCAACCGUAUAUACAUUGUUUGAACUGCUAAGCUAGAGGACGAGAGAGGUAGAUGGAAUUCCUAAUGUAGGGGUAAUAUCCGUAGAUAUUAAGAGGAACACCGAUGGCGUAAGCAGUCUACUGGCUCGUUUCUGACACUCAGGCACGAAAGCGUGGGGAGCAAACGGGAUUAGAUACCCCGGUAGUCC